CGGAAAUUAACUUCGGUUAAUUUUAGUGGCGGACGGGUGAGUAACACGUGAGAAUUCGCCUUUAGGAGGGGGAUAACGGAUGGAAACAUUCGCUAAAACCCCAUAUGCCCCUGGGUGAAACAGAGGAGAUAAGUAAUACUGACUCUUACCUCUGCCUGAAGAGAAGCUCGCGGCUGAUUAGCUAGUUGGUAGGGUAAAGGCCUACCAAGGCGACGAUCAGUAGCUGGUCUGAGAGGACGAUCAGCCACACUGGAACUGAGACACGGUCCAGACUCCUACGGGAGGCAGCAGUGAGGAAUUUUCUGCAAUGGGCGAAAGCCUGACAGAGCAAUACCGCGUGAGGGAUGAAGACUUACUGAGUUGUAAACCUCGGUACCUUAAGGAAGAAGAUCUGACGGUACUUAAGGUGGAAAGCAUCGGCUAACUCCGUGCCAGCAGCCGCGGUAAGACGGGGGAUGCAAGUGUUAUCCGGAUUUACUGGGCGUAAAGCGUCUGCAGGUGGUUUUCUAAGUCUACUGUUAAAUCUUGAGGCUCAACCUCAAAUCUGCAGUAGAAACUAGAAGACUUGAGUAUAGUAGGGGUAGAGGGAAUUUCCAGUGGAGCGGUGAAAUGCGUAGAUAUUGGAAAGAACACCGAUGGCGAAGGCACUCUACUGGGCUAUUACUGACACUCAGAGACGAAAGCUAGGGGAGCAAAUGGGAUUAGAUACCCCAGUAGUCCUAGCCGUAAACGAUGGAUACUCGAUGUUGGACGUAUCAACCCGUUCAGUAUCUUAGCUAACGCGUUAAGUAUCCCGCCUGGGGAGUACGCUCGCAAGAGUGAAACUCAAAGGAGUUGACGGGGGCCCGCACAAGCGGUGGAGGAUGUGGUUUAAUUCGAUGCAACGCGAAGAACCUUACCAGGGUUUGCUAGAAGUGUUGGUUUUCUGAAUAGAAUUCCUUAUUCCGCUUCUACAGGUGGUGCAUGGGCUGUCGUCAGCUCGUGUCGUG
This 989-nucleotide ribosomal RNA is filed under the name Nannochloropsis oceanica. RNAcentral describes it as "bacterial SSU rRNA". It matches the Rfam family "Bacterial small subunit ribosomal RNA", at positions 67 to 1069 of the family's 1533-position model. Lineage: Eukaryota; Eustigmatophyceae; Eustigmatales; Monodopsidaceae. The record is from RNAcentral.